GGCGAACGCUGGCGGCGUGCUUAACACAUGCAAGUCGAACGGAAAGGCCCUGCUUUUGUGGGGUGCUCGAGUGGCGAACGGGUGAGUAACACGUGAGUAACCUGCCCUUGACUUUGGGAUAACUUCAGGAAACUGGGGCUAAUACCGGAUAGGAGCUCCUGCUGCAUGGUGGGGGUUGGAAAGUUUCGGCGGUUGGGGAUGGACUCGCGGCUUAUCAGCUUGUUGGUGGGGUAGUGGCUUACCAAGGCUUUGACGGGUAGCCGGCCUGAGAGGGUGACCGGCCACAUUGGGACUGAGAUACGGCCCAGAGUCCUACGUGAGGCAGCAGUGGGGAAUAUUGCACAAUGGGCGGAAGCCUGAUGCAGCAACGCCGCGUGCGGGAUGACGGCCUUCGGGGUGUAAACCGCUUUCGCCUGUGACGAAGCGUGAGUGACGGUAAUGGGUAAAGAAGCACCGGCUAACUACGUG
This 468-nucleotide ribosomal RNA is filed under the name uncultured bacterium. Its description in RNAcentral is "partial 16S ribosomal RNA". It matches the Rfam family "Bacterial small subunit ribosomal RNA", at positions 28 to 507 of the family's 1533-position model. The record is from RNAcentral.